UGACCCCUACGCGGUGGAAGAGCCGAGCGAC
This 31-nucleotide non-coding RNA is filed under the name Rattus norvegicus (Norway rat). Lineage: Eukaryota; Metazoa; Chordata; Mammalia; Rodentia; Muridae. The record is from RNAcentral.